Molecule: non-coding RNA, 97 nt
Filed under: SAR86 cluster
Lineage: Bacteria; Pseudomonadati; Pseudomonadota; Gammaproteobacteria
Also listed under: 1 other name
Description: SAM-I-IV sequence
Rfam family: SAM-I/IV (S-adenosyl methionine) riboswitch aptamer
About the family: It is found upstream of a number of genes which code for proteins involved in methionine or cysteine biosynthesis. It has been found mostly in the order Actinomycetales.
Source: RNAcentral
GAUAUACAUUAAGAGUGAGAUUAAGUUCUCCUCCAACCUGCCAACUCCGGCAAGGUGGAAAAAAUGAUGAGGUUAAUCAACAACUAAAGGAGUAAAA